RNAcentral lists this long non-coding RNA (1032 nucleotides) under Nicotiana benthamiana. RNAcentral's name for it is "long non-coding RNA (NBEN_LNC027329)". Lineage: Eukaryota; Viridiplantae; Streptophyta; Magnoliopsida; Solanales; Solanaceae. The record is from RNAcentral.
AUUAUUAACAGCUGAUAUCUUUCGACCAAUUUGCUUUACCAAGUCAUGACAAUUAGUUUAUCAUGCUUCAAUUUUAAAUUACAUAUCUACACAUGCAAUUCAUGUAGGCAUUUAUCAAGUGAUUUUCAAGAUAAUAGAUAAACUAAUACAAAUAAACAUAUCUCAGAAGUUGAAUGAAUUAGGAACCAAAAUGAUACCCAUAUAGGAAGAGAAAAGAAAUGGACCUCAAUAAUUGAUGCCUAUAUAUUAUAUGAGAACUCGAUUACAGUAAACUCUGGCGAAUCGAAUCUACCCGAAAAAUGAAAACAGGGACUGAACUUACACCUCGGACGGCGGCUUCUCAAUCGAACUCCCCAUUUGAACAUCAAAAUCCCGAAAUUCAAACUACUUGAGCAGAAAAGGCACCAAACAAAGCCAAACAAAUGCUGGAAUCAAUUCAAAUGAAGCUCAGCGAAGUCUCCAGCAAUAAACAACAGAUUUCGAAAUUAGUUUUCAGCUUGAGAGAGGGAUGGCGGCUCCCAGGGUUCAAAAUGGGAGGAGUGUUCUGUCCGUCUCUACUCUUCGGCGGCGGUUGAAGGGUGAUGAUGUGUAUUCUUGUAGUGGAUGCCCGUCUCUUUUUUUAGGUUUAGUUCAAGGAAGAAGAAGAUCUGGGUGGGGUCGUUUGGUCGUUCAGCUGAAGCAUUUUGGCCUUCAAAAAUGGCUGAUGGUUUGUAUUGAAGGGUUGAAGAAGACGACAAAGAACAGGGGGGAGGAGACGUGUGGUCUGCUCGUGGGUGAUGUUCAGAUGGGGCGGGCAACUGUUUUUGAGUUCUUAGGUCCUAGGGUUUUAUUGUUGUCUCAAGGUUGAAGAUGGUCAAGUAGCUUGGGUUCAGCUUGUUUGUUUGAUGAAGAUGGCAGCCAUGGGUGUGUUCAAGGUUCUCUCCAUGGUUAGCUCUCUAGGGUUUUUUAUGUUCUUGUGUCAUUAAGAAGGAGUACCUAGAAUUCAAAAAUCUGAUAGGGGUGUGAGCUAAGGGAAAUUUGGGCCGAAAAUUG